This 248-nucleotide unclassified non-coding RNA is filed under the name Hevea brasiliensis (rubber tree). Lineage: Eukaryota; Viridiplantae; Streptophyta; Magnoliopsida; Malpighiales; Euphorbiaceae. The record is from RNAcentral.
GUUUUACUUGUGACAUUGAAUUUUUUUACUUUAUGUCAUAGUGAUUUGGUUUUUAACCACUGGAUUGUUCUAUUUAAGUUGAUAAAACAAGUACAACUGCACAGAAUCAAUCUUUACAAGGUGAAUGUCACAACGUGAUUUGGUGUUCUGAUCUCAAGAUGAAGUUACCUCUCCCCCUCCUAGUGAAAUUGAGUGUCAUGAGUAGCGGCCAACAGAAGAGCUUCUAGGUUUAGGGCCAUCCUGUUAGA